This 165-nucleotide small RNA is filed under the name Marmota monax (woodchuck). The record is from RNAcentral. Lineage: Eukaryota; Metazoa; Chordata; Mammalia; Rodentia; Sciuridae.
UAAUUCUAAUGUAAAAUAGGGUCUAUGGUUUGUAAUGCUGUAUCAAUAUUGAUUUAUUUAUUGUAACUAAUGUAUCAUAUUGACGUGGAGUAUUAGUGGGGAAGGGGUGUGUGUGUGUGUGUGUGUGUGUGCGCGCGCGCGUGCGCACGCACUAGCACACAUUAU